Molecule: long non-coding RNA, 602 nt
Organism: Triticum dicoccoides
Lineage: Eukaryota; Viridiplantae; Streptophyta; Magnoliopsida; Poales; Poaceae
Exons: 3
Source: RefSeq, a predicted model, not a curated record
UGGUUUUGCAGAUCAAUCUCCUCGGAAGCAACCAAAUGAGUUGGGGAAAGGUGUGGUUGACUGAGGCAGUCUUGUAAUACUGCAACAGCCACACAAGCAUGGCACUGUUCGGUGGAUGAGGUUUUAACUGUUCCUCGGAUGCAGUGUACCUAAGAUGGUCAUCUUAGAUGGAUUUUGGUACACAUUCAUUAUUAUAUGCACGCUACACGAUGAUAUAACAUGGAAAUGAAAGGUACCUGCCCGGAAUAAAACUGAAUUCAAAUGGCUGGUUGAAUUUUGCUGGUGUGGGUAAUUGGAGAAGGUUUUGUACUCACGGUUCUCGCCGAGAACUGCAACUCCAGCAGAACGUUUAUUCAUGCGAGAAUUGGAGUGCUGCCAAGAACUGUGAUCAGUUGAAUUGCAAGUCUGCGGAAUAGAAAUGCUUGCUGGAGCCUUUCCUAGGCUAGGCUAGCAGAAGCGUGAACGAUACAUAUCUUGCUGAAGAAAUGCUUGCUGGAGCCUUUACUUGCAUAUCUAACCGAAGAAACCGACACCCAGCGGUUAUCUUCAUCAAAUCUAACAGCAACUUACCGCUUUCCCCGGAGUUACACGACACACUGCCA